Molecule: transfer RNA, 72 nt
Filed under: Camelus dromedarius (Arabian camel)
Lineage: Eukaryota; Metazoa; Chordata; Mammalia; Artiodactyla; Camelidae
Also listed under: 1 other name
Rfam family: tRNA
About the family: Transfer RNA (tRNA) molecules are approximately 80 nucleotides in length. Their secondary structure includes four short double-helical elements and three loops (D, anti-codon, and T loops).
Source: Rfam by way of RNAcentral
GAGGGUAUAGCUCAAUGGGAGAACGUGUGUUUAACAUGCACAAGGUCCUGGGUUCAAUACCCAGUUCUUCCA